CAAUUAGAUAAUGAGUGUGGCCAUUGUCUAGCUAGCAGUUUUACUUAGAAUGCAAGGUGUUGCUUUGAAGGUUCAACAAUCCAUACAGGCAGACUAAGAUGAAAUACUGGACCAGAGUAUCUGCUAAUUCACACGUCCCUUUCAAUGUGAGAUAUUCUUUUCAUGCUGCUAAGCUGAACGACAGAGGCUACUCUAUGAUUGUCCUCACACUAACUGCCAGUUACAAGAUCUUUUGAUUAAAAUUAUCCUAUCAAUUUGAGUCCACAUAUAUUUCGAUACAUGUACAUUAGAUUCCUGCAUAUAUGUAUUAGUAGUAUUUUAGCUUGUUAGUACAAUCUUGUUGUCUACGGAGUACCUAGGUAACCUAUAAAAUUUUGUGCUGUGUAUUUGUCCUCUAUCUGAUUCUCUGUGCUAUGAUCAUCUGGUAAUCAGUGGCUGUUCCAAGUUGUUCUACUCAGCUUCCUUCCAGUUCUUUGCACCCAGCCAUCAACAGAUAAGUUCGUUUCAUCAGGACGAAUUCUCUGUGUAGAAAAUUAUCGGCAUAUUUAUUUGAGUGGGCCAUCAUUUCUGUGUCAGCAGGCAAGAAUAGCUUCCAAUAAUCAUGUUGGGUUUCUAAUGCUGCAGGCAUUAUCUUGUCCUCUAGUAGUAGUUUUUUUUCCCCCUAAACAAUCUAUUUCAUGCUGUUUGGACUUUGUACGGAUGGGGGAAAAUAAAC
RNAcentral lists this small RNA (715 nucleotides) under Oryza sativa Japonica Group (Japanese rice). RNAcentral's name for it is "sRNA Os01g0559550". The record is from RNAcentral. Lineage: Eukaryota; Viridiplantae; Streptophyta; Magnoliopsida; Poales; Poaceae.